RNAcentral lists this ribosomal RNA (34 nucleotides) under Ustulina deusta. RNAcentral's name for it is "Kretzschmaria deusta partial 28S ribosomal RNA". The record is from RNAcentral. Lineage: Eukaryota; Fungi; Ascomycota; Sordariomycetes; Xylariales; Xylariaceae.
UUGACCUGGGAUCAGGUGAGGAAUAACCCGCUGA